GGACAGGUGGCGGAAUUGGUAGACGCUAAUACAUGUGGUAAGUAUGCCGAACAAGGCGAGCAGCAUUAAUGAGUGUGUAAAAGACGCUUACCGUAAGCACUCAUUGCAGGUUCGAAUCCUGCCCUGUCCA
This is a transfer RNA of Alistipes indistinctus YIT 12060, 130 nucleotides long. It matches the Rfam family "tRNA". Rfam says of the family: Transfer RNA (tRNA) molecules are approximately 80 nucleotides in length. The record is from Rfam. NCBI's taxonomy places the organism in Bacteria, Pseudomonadati, Bacteroidota, Bacteroidia, Bacteroidales, Rikenellaceae.